RNAcentral lists this transfer RNA (87 nucleotides) under Myxococcales bacterium. Its description in RNAcentral is "tRNA-Leu". It matches the Rfam family "tRNA". From Rfam's summary of the family: Transfer RNA (tRNA) molecules are approximately 80 nucleotides in length. Lineage: Bacteria; Pseudomonadati; Myxococcota; Myxococcia; Myxococcales. The record is from RNAcentral.
GGCCGAGUGGCGAAACUGGCAGACGCGCCGGAUUCAAAAUCCGGUGCCCGCAAGGGCGUGCCGGUUCGAGUCCGGCCUCGGCUACCA